CCUCUUCCAUAUUUGAUUGAUACAUACAUAAUACAUACAAACAACAUACACAGUUGAUUUUGCGAAGCAAUUACAUAAGCAAAGCAAAAGUACUGUCAGGCGAAAAAAAAGGAAGGAAAUUGUGAGGGCCAAAUGGUAAUUGAAUUAAGUUCAUACGGAAAGAGGAGGAGAAAGACCGAACUCAAGUCCCCACAGCUCAAAUCCUCCCUUCACGAAAUCAUAGUAACCUCCCUUCAAUGCCAAUGUUUUCUUCACCAAUCCUUCUCUCACGAAUGGAUACGUAAGCAGAUUUCCAAGUGAAACGUUCACAGCUUCCUGCAACAUUUUUCAUCAUCGUCAAAUUAUAAAAUACUGCUAUACAUUUAAUUAAUUGAUAUUCAAAAAGUUAAAUUUGAAUUUUACCUUCUCACAAGCUGUGCAUUGAUGUCCAAAUUCUUUAUCUCCGUGAUCGGCCAGAACCUUGGCCUUGGCAGGUAAACAAAUUUUCACCCAAUCCUCAAUAAAGGCACUGCGUUUAUUAGAUUAUUAAUCAAUGAUCUGUUAGCGAUAAGUUUUUUUGAAUGAAUAAUUGUAGAAAAGGUUAAAGAGUGACGUACGUUGAUUCACUACCAUCUUCAGGUAGAGACAUGAGACCUUUGAUACCUCCACAAGCACUGUGGCCAAUGACAACGAUGUUCUCCACCUUAAGAUGAAGAACAGCGUACUCAAUGGCUGCUCCCACUCCAGAGUAUCUCACCUGUUCAAAUUCAAUCCCAUCUUUAUUUUUAAAAAUUCAACUCCAAAGCCAAAUAAUCGACUCGUAUAUACUUUGGAUUGAAGCAUAAUUGAUUGAUUUGUUACUGACCUUGUCAUAAGCAGGGACCAUGUUGGCAAUGUUACGAACCAUGAAUGCCUCACCAGGUUGGAAGUUGAGGACAUGGGAUGGGCACACUCGCGAGUCAGAGCACGCGAAAACCAUGAACUGUUACAUAUUUUGGGCAAUAGACUCAUCAGAAACCGUACAAUAAAAUUAGAUAACAAAUUAACAAGGAAUUUGUACCUUAGGGCUCUGGCCCUUUGCUAGUUCACCAUAUAAGGCUGGGUUUGUACUGUUGGUACAUUAAUAGAAAAGAAGAAAAAUUAUCAGGCACUAAUGUUACAACAUCAAAUAUGCAGAAAUUUUAAUUUGAAGAAAGUGAUGAAUUUGCUUACUCAUAUUUCUCAGUUUUGAAAUGAAUAAAGCCAGCUUUCAUGUGCUCAACAGGGUCGAAGGCCUUGCUGCCAUCUGCUGAUUUCAAUUCAGCAGUAAUCUGGUCAACUCUUGCUGCAGCAACUGGUCCAAGUUCUGCUUUCUCACUGUAAUUGCAUAAAAUAAUUUAGACCAUUAUUAUUAUUAUUGAAGCGAUAUUUCAGGUAGAAAAAAUGACUUGUGGUUUGAGCACAUCGCACUAAAUACUUUUAUCUGGAGAAAUUGAAACCAAUUAACAUGUUCUGUUGCUGUGAAAUUGAAUUUUACGAAUAAACAUUGCAUGAUUAUGUUUUCUCGGCAGUUUUGCAAAUUUUAACAUUUUUUUGAGUACGUAUCUACGUAUAUAUGUAUGCAUAUUUUUUGGAGCCCACUUGAUCAAGAAAAAAGAAGUAUUGUGAUUUAGAGGUAGAGUCGUAGAGAGAGUACAAACCUGAGGAGUUUCUCGAGUGCAGCAAUGGCCUGAUCGUAGGAUUCUUUUGCCAUUUCUUCUCUCUGCAAGUUCUAAUUCUCAUUAGCAUAUUGGAAGACGUAUAUAUAAUAUAUAUAAGUUAAUGUUUGACCAUAGAUUUUGAAAAUUUAUCUUUAAAUAUUUGUUGAUUAUAUAUUUUUAAAAAAUUUAGACUAAGAGAAAUUUCGCUUUCACUUUUAAGUUGAAAUAAAAUGCAAGUAAGUUUGGUUAUAGCAAGUAGUAACCACAUUAUAAAGUGAUGGAGAUGUCAAAAGAAGACGUGAAAUAAUUAAUACAAUGGAGUAUUAAGAAGGUCGGUUAUCUUCGAUUUAGGUGGAUACCAAAACUAGAAAUUAAGACAAAAACAACGUAAUAAAUAGAUACCAUCCUACAAACUUAUGGUAGACUGGUAGUUAUCACUUGUAGGAUGGGCACAUACGAGGAUACCCAUUGGAUUAUUGAAUUUGUCUAGAAAGUAAUAAUUAUUUUUUAAAAAUUAAAAUAGAGAGCAAAAACACUAUCCACAGAAUUCACAAACGACCCUACGAAUUUAAUUUCCAUUUUGCCAGAACCUCUACAUAAUUGCCACCUCUAUUUUGGUUCAUUUUCAAGUUUAAUAUGUUAUUUCCUCCUUCUCAAAAUAAGUGUCAUCUUAGAAUUUCAAAAUAAAAAUUAGUAUGUUUUUUCCCAACUAUAUUCUUAUAUUAAAAAAUUAGUGCUCAAUUCUCAAGAAAUAUCGGAGUAAUAAAUAAGAGUAACUGAGUAAACUAUCAUUUUUUUUUAAUGAGUGUGAAACAAAUUAAAAUAACACUUAUUUUAGGACGGAAAGAAUAUGGUUUAUGUCAUGGAGUAUAGGCAAUAGACGUGUACAAUUCAGAGCGACAUCAAUUCACCUAACUUCAGGAGAUUCAUGGCCAAAAAUAACAACACUAAUUAUUUAGAGUAGCUAGAAACUAAAGUUUAGAACUAUGCCAAUAUAGAAUUUUCACGUGAACUAGCAUGCAUGGACACAUAAGUCGUUACCAAUACGAUAAAACAAAAAAAUGUAUUGCUUAAAAAACAAAGUAACGUCAAAUGUAAAUAACUUGUUAUAACAGGUUAAAAUACAUAAGUUAAAUUCGUACCACAAUGGGGUUGAUGAUGGGAGUAGGGGCAGCGAAGACGGGCUCGUUUCUGAUGAGACUUGGAAUAGAAGAAGAAGAAGAAGAGUUGCCAAGCCUUGCGAAGGCAACGGGACGAGUAGGUUUCUUAAGGGAAGCUUGAGCAGGGGAGAUAGUAAGGCAAUUGUUAAUGGAAGCAGUUGACAUUUCUCAAUGAGCUUCCUUUGGCUUUUGCUUGCCCUUUAUACUACUUUGUUACUCACUAGUAAUAUUAUAGCUAGUGGAUGGGUCCUUGAUUAUUGCUUCUUUAGGACUCUUACAUAUAACCAAUUCAAUAGACAAUGUUGAAAGUGAUGGCUAAGCAAAUUAGAGCUUCAAUCCAUUGUAGAUGAGGUUUGUACGUUGGAGAUUCAAUGUUGCAUCUUACUUUUGCCUUAAAAUCAUAUGGCUAAGAAGCCAAGAACCUUACAUUUCAAGAAGCUAAUUUUUUUUUCUUUAGAAAAAAUUAAUCAAGGGAUGUGGAGGAAAGAAAUAGGAUAAUGGGGCCAGGAAGAAGGGUUCUGUCUCUUUUCAGAAAAUUAAACUGCACAUAGACAGUUAAAAUCUUUUUUUUUUUUAAUGUAUAUGCAGUAGAUGUCAUUGAAUUUUCUUUGACUUCUUCGUUGCGUGUUUACUUCUUAUAUUUGAAUCGAUUGAGUAAAAAUUUUGACUCCACCGUUGAAUAAUGGACAAUGUUAUUCUUUUCUGUAGGGCAGUACAAAUUAUAUUCCCACCUACAUUUGCACUCUUUCUUUUAUUUGGUUGUCGUAUGGUCAUUUUCAUAAUUUGGACAUGCAUAUAUAUGCAAUGACCAUUCGCCUCGCCAGAGUAACAAUUAUGGCCAUAAUCUCAAUUUAGUACCAAAUUCAUCAGAUUUAGAGUCAGAAUAGUAUUUACUACUAAUUUGGAAGUCAGAACGAAAUUACUCGUCGUAGCAAAGCAAUUAUCCGCUUCGCACUGUGCUAUGUACCCAACGUUUGCCAUGGGUACAAUAACUGAUACACCAGACUUGCAUCCUUUCCGGUCAACCUCUCCUACUUACUCAAAAGUUGUUGAUCCUUUUCCAUUGUAUCCCUUCCAAUAUAUCCAAGAAUUAAUUUGGAAUAAACGUUACACAAUUAUAUUAGAGGGAUUAAAUCUCUAAAUACGUGUAUGCAUGGAAGAUGAUAUUAUGUACCUAUUUGUGAAUACAAUAUCCAAAGCAAUUUUUUUGAACUCCUUCAAUUAACUUAACAUUAAUUUCUUUGAACAAAUUACCAAAUAUCCCUUAUCCGAUCAAUGCUCGCCACAUGUCACGAUUAGAAGUGGUGAAGUGACAUGUGUCAAUAUUAAAAACAAAAAUAUAUGACUACCUCAAAUUCAAACGAAAAAUCUACGUACGGAAGAAGAAGAAAAAAUGAAUGGAGGAAGAUAAAUGAAAGAUAAAAGGAAAAGGUAGUGGAUGAGAAUAGAUAAGGUCCUAUCUUCAAUCUAAUGCUACUUGUGGUUGUACUUCAACAUUUGCUUCACAUUCUUUCAAUUUUUAUCUCCUUCAAUUAUCAAUUUGGUGGUCGAACUUUUUAGUUAUUAUCACUAUGGACCAUAUGUGUUUCUGCAACAGUAUGGCCUAAUUCUCCUUAUGUGGGGGGAAUAUAGAUGAGUUUUGAAUUAAAAAAUAAUAUUUGUCGGCAUUAUAAAAUUAUUUACUCAUUCGAUGUAUCCAACGAGUUAAUUAUUUUUCAAAAGUUAUCGAUUCAUAUCUACCGUUUAGAAAGAAAAAAAAAGGGGGGGCCAUAAAAAUGUGGUUGGCUAAUUUAAGGGAUACUCCUAUUCAGUUUAUAAAAUAGUGACUAGCAAAAAGAAUUUGUUGCACAAGCAUCAACUUUACUUAUUAGAUUACCCAUAUAUUGCAAAUGAGUGUCAGUUUAUUUAGAAUAAAGAUAUGAUAUUUCUCACCUUUGCAUUAGGAUAAUGUUGAAAGUCCCCAUUGCACUUUGGCUUGUAAAUUGAUUUAUAUACCUGUUUGUCUCCCACAAGCUCCCUGCUGAUCCUUUUAGAUGAUUUAGAACUUUGGCUAAUUUGUGUGAGUUUCAACUAUUACAUCACAUACUUGUUAUCUCCUAAGAAAUUUUGUCCACCAAGACAUACACAAUUAUGAAGAAAGCACCUAUAUAGAGUAAAACCCAAUUACACUCUCUCUGUAUAGAGUGCAGAACAUGAUUUUUGGCAUGAUCUUACUCCCUACCCAAUCGUUGUGGUGUAUAUUUCCGAAUCAAUUGAAUUGUAAGUUGCUAUAGCUUUUACCAACUACUGUGGUCUGUCGAAAUGAAAAAGAAACUAUAUCCUCCUGAUGGCCCCAAAUUCCCCUGACGCUUCUCGGUUUGAAUUUUUCACAUCGUUUUAAUCAUGAAUAUUUUGUUGAAAAUAUAUACUAUAAUAAUAAUAAACCUAUCGAGAUGAAAGCCUAGCAGAUUGCAAGACUCAUUGACCUAUGUUUUCUGAGGGAUGUCUGAGGCCAUAAUCUUAAGGAAUCCACAAAAUUGGGAAAGGGUAGAGAGAAUGAUGCAUGUUUCAUUUAAUAUAGGCAAUGGAUGGUAGAAUGAAAAUUCUGUAUUUUUUGGCCCCUUUAAGUCCAUGCAAAUGUUCCUCAAACCUCUUUAGGCAAUUUGAGAAUGUCUAUAUCACUACUCAUCGUUUCGACAUAUUAGGCACAUAAUUGCACAUAGGUCAGAUUGUCAAAUUACACAUCAAACCCUAUACCAGAGGACCCCACCCCUUC
RNAcentral lists this long non-coding RNA (5573 nucleotides) under Solanum tuberosum (potato). RNAcentral describes it as "long non-coding RNA (STUB_LNC003293)". Lineage: Eukaryota; Viridiplantae; Streptophyta; Magnoliopsida; Solanales; Solanaceae. The record is from RNAcentral.